AUGAUAUUUUAUUCAAUAACAUCAAUACAAAAUAUGGCCGUCUGCUACUUAAACGUAAGCUGCUGCACAUAAUUUCACCGAGCUGUACUGCCAUCAGCGGAGAUUAGUAAUGCAAAACACAUGCGAAAUCACGUUCAAAUUAUACAGUGUAGCGUGUGUGGAGAUUAAGCUUGAUUCUUAUCAUCCUGUGGUUUCGAGUUGUUGAUUUUUUCGAUGUAAAUGUGCAAAAUUCAUAAUAAUUGGUGAUACGUGAUUGUUAAUGGAAGCUUUAGCUGUUUAACAAUGGCUGAAGAAAUAUCGGCUCCUCGAAUUGUGUUCAAGCAAAUGGUACAUAGGGGAAUUCCUUUGUUUGAAUGUGAAAUUGACCGAAUUGAAGCCAUGGACACAUUUGACGAUGACAUCUGGCUUUGUGGAUACCCUAGAUCCGGAAAUACCUUGACACAGGAAAUGACAUACCUUAUACAGACACUCGAUUUUGGCCGUGCAAACUCCGUUUACCUCGAGGACAGAGUGCCUUGGAUUGAUGCCAAAGAUGACCGCUUACAGAAAGUAAAAGGUGUUGAUGCCAUAGAAGAACAGAUCAGACCAAGAUUUGUAAAAUGUCAUCUUCCAUACGAUUUCCUGCCAAGUCAGUUAAAAGAUGGCAAGGGAAGGAUUAUAUACGUAUCUCGAAACGCCAAGGACGUAUUUCAGUCCUACUACCGGAUUAUGCUGUAGGAUGACCAACUUGACACUUCUAAAGAAACCUUAAACACUUUCUUUGAAAACUUCGUGAAAGGCAAAGACCUAUACGGAUUAUGGACCGACCAUAUCAUUGGCUACUGGAAAAAAACGCGAAGACGACAAUGUGCUCUUUCUCAAAUUUGAAGACAUUGUUAAGGAUAUGCCGACGGCCAUUCGAACAAUAGCAACGUUUCUGGGACGAACGUUAGCGGAAGAUGACGUCACAAAAAUAUGCAAACAUUGCCACGUGAACAAUAUGAGGGACAAUCCGAUGGUAAACUUUUCCUACAAGGCAAAGAAUAUGUCGAUUCGCCAAGAAGUGGGAGCAUUUAUAAAUAAAGGAGAACCUGGUGUUUGGCGAAACGUUUUAACUCCGCAGAUGAGUGAACAGAUAGACGUCAUGAUGAAACCACUGGAUGGAACAGGACUUAAGUUUGAAUUUUCAUAAUACAAUGGAAACGAUGGGACAAAUUCAGAUAUAAGACAUGACGAAACCUCUGGAUGGAACGGGAUUCUGGUUUGAAAUGACAAAAUAUAAUGAAAAAUACAGGGACAAUCUCUGAUAGAAGGCACGAUAAAACCUCUUGAUAGAACGGUACUCGAGUUUGAAUUGUCAAAAUACAAUGAAAAAUCAGGAACAAAUUCAGAACAUGAUAUGAUGAAACCCUUGGAUGGUACUGGACUCGAGUUUAAAAUUGUCAUAUGAAAAAAUGGAAACUACAGCGACUAGCUCAGUAACAGGCUUCCUGUUUUAAAACACAAUGUUCAUGGCCUGAUAUACAGUAAAGGGUCGCACUUAUAUAAUACGUUUUAGUGUUUAAGUAAUAUUGCUUGAUACAUCUUUUAUUAGCAUCCGUUUUAUUUAUUCAUUUUGAAUCCAUAUCAUAUUGUUGUUUAUGUUUCCAUUUGUACAUGCAAUGGCUUUGUUUUCAUUGAUAUGCUCAGUUAUGGGCCUUGUUAACAAUUAAACUUAAAACUUGAA
Long non-coding RNA from Mya arenaria, 1705 nucleotides. RefSeq lists it as uncharacterized. Lineage: Eukaryota; Metazoa; Mollusca; Bivalvia; Myida; Myidae. The record is from RefSeq and is a predicted model, not a curated record. The transcript has 7 exons.